UCAUUCCUAGCAGAAUUUUCA
This is a non-coding RNA of Caenorhabditis elegans, 21 nucleotides long. Lineage: Eukaryota; Metazoa; Nematoda; Chromadorea; Rhabditida; Rhabditidae. The record is from Ensembl.